Molecule: ribosomal RNA, 245 nt
Filed under: uncultured bacterium
Lineage: Bacteria
Description: partial 16S ribosomal RNA
Rfam family: Bacterial small subunit ribosomal RNA
Source: RNAcentral
UACGUAGGUGGCGAGCGUUGUCCGGAAUUACUGGGCGUAAAGGGAGCGUAGGCGGUUUAUUAAGUGAGAUGUGAAAUACCCGGGCUUAACUUGGGAAUUGCAUUUCAAACUGGUUGACUAGAGUGCAGGAGAGGAAAGUGGAAUUCCCAGUGUAGCGGUGAAAUGCGUAGAGAUUGGGAGGAACACCAGUGGCGAAGGCGACUUUCUGGACUGUAACUGACGCUGAUGCUCGAGAGCGUGGGGAG